Molecule: long non-coding RNA, 2344 nt
Filed under: Homo sapiens (human)
Lineage: Eukaryota; Metazoa; Chordata; Mammalia; Primates; Hominidae
Description: HSALNT0374453
Source: RNAcentral
AAGCUGCAGCAGACAUGAUGGGCCCGGGGCGAAGCGGGCGCUCGGUGGCCGAUAGAUGGCAGCCGAGGGCGAAGGCGUCCCUGGGCUAGGGCGGCGCAACCGGGGCCCCCUUGGAUGUCACAUUCGUAGGAAGAGAGAGAAGUCUUGGACCAUGUGUGUAAUUCGAGCGUGGGACUGUGCAAUUCUCGGAUUGGGAAAGGGAGGAGUGGAAAUAACCCCGGCAGUGCCAGGCUUGCUGGUGGUCAGGAACAGAUGAUUCCAGCCCUGUGCUGAUCGCCUGCCUUCCUCCUGCCAUUCAGAAUGCUGCUGUCUCGUGUACUUACUGUUAAGGAUCCUGGAAAAGGGAGUGGUUCCUCCUAGCUGCAAACAAGGGCGCUACUUUUCUUUUCUCUUUAAUAGAAUUACGUUUUAUAGGUGUGUCUAGGCAACACAAGGGAAUGUGAAAGACUUUCAGAGGGAAUGUUUGUGAAUACAUCUGGUGUGUACUAAAAAGCUGGAAAACCCCUAAGUAAAUGCAAUAUCGAUAGAAAGCGAGUUUCUUGAAGAGUCAUCUGCUAAACUCCACUAGAGUCAUCUCUACAGGUGUGGUUAAGAGAAAAAAAAAUUGCCAUUAAGGAAUCAGCAAAUAGGAUGUCUGAAGUGAGGAUAUAGCACCUAUCUCUGAGAUUAAAGUCAUCUGAUCAAAAAUGAUGCCUCUGAGACUAUAACAAAGGAAUGAAUAAUGAAAUAUAAGAAUGGGGAUUCUGCACUAACUCUAUGGGGAAGAAAACAAUGUCUCUGUUCAUCAUGAGAAAUGCUCAGCGACUGCAGACAUAAAGAGAAAGCUUUCAAUUAAAGUUUCAAUGAUGGGAUAGGAACUGAGAAGUCUGUGGAGUUUUCUGCCUAGGAGUACCCUUGGAAAAGCCACUGCUAUGCCCAACCAGCACUGGGAAUCCCAGAUCACAUGCAAUCAUAGGAGUUGCCCUGGAGGCAGAAGCUCAGCACAUGUUCUGGUACAAGGAGAUUACAGUGUUGUGCAAAGCAAAGGGAUGAAUGAUGCCCAACUCUCUAACAUGGGCCUCGGUUUCCACAUCGAGGUUGGAAAUGAGCUAGGAAGCAGAUCCACCAUAAAUGGAGAAAGAAGAGAAACAAGUUGAGCUUUUAAUGACCCCGUAGCCUGACUCUUUGGUAUGGAAAUGGAAAGAGAUCCUCAUGGAAACAUAAAUAAAAUAUAUCACAUGUAACUUAUACCAAUAAUUAUUUUCUCCCCCAGUACCUCAAUUUUGCCCAGAUUGGACUCUAUUUUAUUUCCUUAUUUUUCCACAGUAAUUUACUUAAGUAAAACCAGGAUUUAUUUUAUUCAUCUCCAUGUCAGUUGCUAAGUCCAAGGGAUGUAUAUAGUUUAAAAAAUAUCACAAAGGAUGAUAUGGUGAAAUUGAACAACACAUUAUUACCUGAUGUACAGUCAUUGAUUUUGUAUACUAGCCUUUACCCCUGGCUACUGAUAAUUUUGGAUUUUGAAGAUUCAAAGACAGAGACUUGUAAAUACUUUAGUUUUUACACUUCUUUAUCAUACUCAUACCUGGGAUGGAAAAGUAUCAUUUAAUAUAUUAAGAACAUUGUUAUAGUACAUGUAUUUAAAUAACUCACAAGAGCAAGUAAUCUUACCUCAUGUCAUCUAUUUUUGAAAAAAUAUUUUGUGUAUUUCCACAUGCUUCUUCCAGAUGACCUUUAGCAAAACUUUGUGAAGUUUCAUUGUGGCUGUUGUCUUAGAAAGAUGGUCUUGUUAAUAAGGUCAGUGUUUUAGCCUUGCAAUAUAAGAUUAUGUGCAUUUGUUUAGAGGGAGACUUUAGGAUACAGCGAAGUGUUUUACAAAUGUUUACCAUUUUUAUUCUUAUUAGAUUUUUGAAAGUAUUUGGUUUAAAAUUUUCUUCUUUUUAUUCAACCAGCUCUUUAAAUUACCCAUCAAUUCUUGUUAAGAGUGUGUAUUGUAUAUCUCUCUAUACAUUUCAUGUAUUUUUGUAUGAAUUGUGCUAUUUUUAUAAUUUUUCUAUUUAGCCUCUGUAUCCAAUAUGAUUCAAUGUAUACAUGGAUGCCAUACGUAGGUACUGAUUAUUUCCUCUUUUAUUAUUAAUAAAUUCUAAUUUAUUUCAAUGUGUUAUCUCUGUAAUACAUAAUAUUCUAGACAAUAUUGACUCCAUUUUUUAUGUUUUAGAAUUCCUAAAUUAUAAUUGCACAUAAAUUAAUAUUUUAAUUGUCUUGAUGGACACAGUGUUCUUUUACUAUGCAUUGUAAUAUUUAUCAUCCAAGCUAUACUUUCAAAUGUGUUUUAUUCUCCUCCAUUUUAUAUCUCAGUGAAGGUGUC